UUUUUUAUUUUUUUGUCUAUUUUGGGCUGCACUCAUGGCAUAUGGAAGUUCCUAGUUGAAUCAGAGCUGCAGCUGAUGGCCAACACCACAGCCAUAGCAACACAAGAUCCGAGCUUCAUCUGUGACCUAUACCAUGGCUCAUGGCAACACCAGAUCCUUUAACCCACUUAGUGAGGCAGGGAUUGAACCUGAAUCCUCAUGGAUGCUAUUUAGAUUCGUCAGUGCUGAUACACAAAGGGAACUCUCCAUGUGAAUUUUAGAAUUGUAUUCUAUUUCUGUUAAAAAAUGCCAUUGGAAUUUUGAUAAGGAUUGCGCUGUUUCUACAGAUAGCUUUGGGCAAUAUGGGCAUUUUAACAAUACUAAGUAUUUUAAUUCAUGAACAUGGCACAUUUUUCCUUUUGUGACUUGUUUAUUUUCUUUAAUGUUUUGUGGCUUUCAGUCUGCAAGUCUUUCACAUCCUUAGGUUAUUCCUAGGUAUUUUAUUAAUUUUGAUGCUAUUGUAAAUGAGAUUGUUCUUAAUUUUUUUCAGAUAGUUUGUUGUUUAUAGAAAGCUGAUUUUCGUGGGUUCAUUUUGUAUCCUGUAACAUUACUGAAUUCAUUGAAAAGUUCUCAGUUUUUUAAUGGCGUGCUUAGGGUUUUCUUUUUUCUUUUUUUCAUCUUUGGUCUUCAUUUUUCAAAGUAUAGUUGAUUUACAACGUUGUGCCAAUUUUAGGGUUUUCUAAAUAUAAGAUUAUAUUGUGAACAGGGACAAUUUUACUUUUUCUUUUCCAAUUUGCAUGCAUUUUCUUGCCUACUGUUUUGACUAGAACUUCCAGUACUAUGCUGAAUAAAAGUGGGCAUCCUUGCUUUGUUUCUAAUAUUAGAGGGAAAGCUUUCAAUUUUUUGCCAUUGAGUGUAAUAGUAGCUUGUGGGCUUUUCGUAUAUACUAUUUUGAAAGCUUUUAUUAUGUUGAAAUAAUUUCCUUAUUUCUAGUUUGUUGAGCGUUUUUAUUAUGAAAAGGUACUGAAUUUUGUUAAGUGCUUUUUAUUCAUUGAGACAAUCAUGUGAUUUUUAUCCUUUAUUAUGUUAUUUUAGUGUAUAACAUUAAUUGAUUUUCAUAUAUUGAGCCAAUGUUUGAUCAUGGUGUAUGAUCCUUUUAUGUGAGAUUGGGUUCUGCUGGAGAGUGCUUUGUUGAGGAUUUAUUUUUGUGUCUAUAUUCAUUAGAGAUAUUAGCCUGUAGUUUUCUUUGUCCACUAAAUUUUUUUUUUGUCUUUUUGUUUUUUCCAGGGCCACUCCUGUGGCAUAUGGAGCUCCGAAAAGACAAAAAGACAAAAAAAAAAAAAAAAAAAAAAAAAAAAUCAUUUAUCUCUUAAAGGACAUGGGGUGUUUCCAGCUUUUACUAUUAAAAAUAAACAUUAAUGUACAGGUUUGGGUAUGUACAUAGUUUAUAUUUCCUUAGGAUAAAUGCCCAAGUGUACAUAUACUUGGUCAUGUGGUAAGCGUAUGUUUAGUGUUAUAAGAAACUGCCAAACUAUUUUCCAGAGUGGCUGUACCAUUUUAUAUUCCCACCAGCAAUGUGUUAGUGAUCUAGCUUCUCCACAUUCUUACAAGGAUUUGGUGUUACAGUUAUUUUUAAUUUUAGUCAUUCUAUUAAGUAUGUAGUGAUAUUUCAUUGUAGCUUUAGUCUGCAUUUCCCUAAUGAUUAAUGAAGUUGAACAUUUUUAGAUGCUUAUUUUUUGCCACCUUUAUAUCCUCUUUAGUGAAAUGUCUGUUUAUAUCCGUGAUAGGAAGAACAUGGCCUUCCAAAGAUAUUGUGCCAAAUCCCCAGAACUUCAAGAACAUGUUACUUUACACAGCAACGAUUGUUUGCUGAUAUGAUUAAAGGUAUAGACCUUGAGAUGGGGAGACUGUCAAGAAUUAUCCAGAUGGGCUUCAUCUAAUUUCAUGAGUCCUUAAGAGGAGAACCUUUCAGAGGGAGAUGUGACUAAGGAAGAAAGAUCAGAGAUGCAGAGAUUACACAGAGGUAGAAUGUUGCUAGUUCUGAAGAUGGAGAGAGAAGUCCAGGAGCCAAGAAAUGCCCAUGACAUCUAGAAGCUGGAAAGGCAAGAAAACAGAUUUUCCUCUAAGAGCCUCCAGAAAGGGCUGUGGUCAGCCCUGCUGACUCCUUCAUCUUAGGCCAAUGAGACCUGUGAUGUCUAACUGUAAGAAAAAGUACGUUUUUUCAGCAACUAAGUUUGUGGUAAUUUGCUACAACAGCAAUAGAAAAAUAGGAGUUCCAGUUGUGGCAUAGCAGGUUAAGAACCAAUAUAGUGUCCAUAAGGAUGUGGGUUCCAUCCCUGACCUUGCUCAGUGGGUUAAAAAUCUGGUGUUGCCGCAAACUGCAGCAUAGGUCGAAGGUGUGGCUUAGAUCCCAGUGUUGCCAUGGCUGUGGCGUAAGCCAGCAGCUGCAACUCCCAUUUGAUCUCUGGCCUGGGAACUUUCAUAUGCUGCAGGUGUGGCCAUAAAAAGAAAAAAAGGAAGGAAGGAAAAAAAGGAAGGAAAUGCAAUCUCUUUUGCCCAUUUUCUAAUUGGAUUAUUUUUUCUUUAAUGUUGAGUUUUGGGAGUUCUCCAUAUACUCUAGGUAUUUGUCCUUUAGGAUACACGUUUGCAAAUAUUUUACCCUGAUUUGCAGCUUGUUUUUUUCAGCCUUUACAAGGUGUUUUUUUUUUUUUUUAACCAUUUAAGAAUUUUAAUACAGAACGAUAACACAGCUUAGAAAAAUACAAUAAUGGGCUCAUCAAAAGGAAGAAUAGACUCUGCAUGUGUCUGUUUACAGUCCUCUGACUCCAGACAUUCUCACCUGGAAAAUUCAACAUCUGGUGGUCUGCCC
This 2848-nucleotide long non-coding RNA is filed under the name Sus scrofa (pig). Its description in RNAcentral is "lncRNA (ENSSSCG00035005293.1)". The record is from RNAcentral. Lineage: Eukaryota; Metazoa; Chordata; Mammalia; Artiodactyla; Suidae.